GUGAGGAAUAUUGCGCAAUGGAGGCAACUCUGACGCAGCCAUGCCGCGUGCAGGAAGAAGGCGCUACGCGUUGUAAACUGCUUUUAACCGGGAAGAAACCCCAGGACGUGUCCUGGGUUGACGGUACCGGAGGAAUAAGCACCGGCUAACUUCGUGCCAGCAGCCGCGGUAAUACGAAGGGUGCAAGCGUUAUCCGGAUUCAUUGGGUUUAAAGGGUGCGUAGGCGGAGCGUUAAGUCAGUGGUGAAAUCCUGCAGCUUAACUGUAGACUUGCCAUUGAUACUGGAGCUCUUGAGUGCGCUUGAAGUGGGCGGAAUGUGCCGUGUAGCGGUGAAAUGCUUAGAUAUGGCACAGAACACCAAUUGCGAAGGCAGCUCACUAAGGCGAUACUGACGCUGAGGCACGAAAGCGUGGGGAUCGAACAGGAUUAGAUACCCUAGUAGUCC
This 445-nucleotide ribosomal RNA is filed under the name uncultured bacterium. Its description in RNAcentral is "bacterial SSU rRNA". It matches the Rfam family "Bacterial small subunit ribosomal RNA", at positions 354 to 796 of the family's 1533-position model. The record is from RNAcentral.